AUUGAUUUUAUGCUUGCAUAAAUGAUUUUUGGAUUCGGAGCGAGUGGCGAACUGGUGAGUAACACGUGGGUAACCUGCCCCGAAGCGGGGGAUAACAUUUGGAAACAAGUGCUAAUACCGCAUAAUUAGUUGGAACCGCAUGGUUCCAACUUGAAAGAUGGCUCUGCUAUCACUUUGGGAUGGACCCGCGCCGUAUUAGUUAGUUGGUGAGAUAAAAGCCCACCAAGACGAUGAUACGUAGCCGACCUGAGAGGGUAAUCGGCCACAUUGGGACUGAGACACGGCUCAGACUCCUACGGGAGGCAGCAGUAGGGAAUCUUCCACAAUGGACGAAAGUCUGAUGGAGCAACGCCGCGUGAGUGAUGAAGGUUUUCGGAUCGUAAAACUCUGUUGUUAAAGAAGAACAAGUGUUAGAGUAACUGUUAACACUUUGACGGUAUUUAACCAGAAAGCCACGGCUAACUACGUGCCAGCAGCCGCGGUAAUACGUAGGUGGCAAGCGUUGUCCGGAUUUAUUGGGCGUAAAGCGAGCGCAGGCGGUUUUGUAAGUCUGCUGUGAAAGCCCUCAGCUCAACUGAGGAAGUGCAGUGGAAGCUACAAAACUUGAGUACAGGAGAGGAAAGUGGAACUCCAUGUGUAGCGGUGAAAUGCGUAGAUAUAUGGAAGAACACCAGUGGCGAAGGCGGCUUUCUGGUCUGUUACUGACGCUGAGGCUCGAAAGCAUGGGUAGCGAACAGGAUUAGAUACCCUGGUAGUCCAUGCCGUAAACGAUGAAUACUAGGUGUUGGAGGGUUUCCGCCCUUCAGUGCCGCAGCUAACGCAUUAAGUAUUCCGCCUGGGGAGUACGACCGCAAGGUUGAAACUCAAAGGAAUUGACGGGGGCCCGCACAAGUGGUGGAGCAUGUGGUUUAAUUCGAUGCUACGCGAAGAACCUUACCAGCUCUUGACGUCUUCUGCCAACCCAAGAGAUUGGGCGUUCCCUUCGGGGACAGAAUGACAGGUGGUGCAUGGUUGUCGUCAGCUCGUGUCGUGAGAUGUUGGGUUAAGUCCCGCAACGAGCGCAACCCUUAUUAUUAGUUGCCAGCAUUUAGUUGGGCACUCUAGUGAGACUGCCGGUGAUAAA
This 1123-nucleotide ribosomal RNA is filed under the name uncultured bacterium. RNAcentral's name for it is "bacterial SSU rRNA". It matches the Rfam family "Bacterial small subunit ribosomal RNA", at positions 47 to 1162 of the family's 1533-position model. The record is from RNAcentral.